Long non-coding RNA from Lolium perenne, 1665 nucleotides. RefSeq lists it as uncharacterized. Lineage: Eukaryota; Viridiplantae; Streptophyta; Magnoliopsida; Poales; Poaceae. The record is from RefSeq and is a predicted model, not a curated record.
GACUGGUCGACCGCGUUCUCGAUUCUUGGUGAAGUUUCUUCUCUGGCUGCCGCUAGGUUUCCUCUCGAAUCCGGCCGAUCCUCUCUCUCCGCUGGCUGGUCUUGCCGGCUGCGGCAGAUUCUGGCCGCUCCUCUCUCUUCAUCGGCAAUCUGGGUCUGGACGGUUGUUUCUUUGGCGGGAUUUCUUCGCCGGUUCGUUCGGCCGGCGUGGCCUGCUGGUUUACCCGAGUUGACAUACUGCUCGAAGGCGGCAGCGUUUGGAUCCGUCCCUCCGGCAUGCUUCACAGUUGGGGGCGUUGAUUCCGGGCGGUGCUGGUGGUGGGUUGCUGGUUACUGCUCUUCCUCUUCACUGAAGAUGGCGGUUCUUCUGUUGCCAACACACACAAACGCCUCAGCAGCACCUACUUCAUAAGUUGUUGUUCAUGUAGGGCCACUGGAGACCGAGCUCCCACCUGCACUUUUGGACGAACUUGUGCUGUUGCAUCUAGGCAUGCACCGGCAGAGGCAAAUGGUGUAGAGGAAGGACCAGGGCUCAUCAAGCAACAAGAAUGCACGGUCGGGGCAUGUGCUGACACAGCUCAUUCACGUCGCGAUGAAGUUCCAGACCGGCGACAUUCACCUCUACAUGAUGGAUCCCGUGCCUCUGAUCAUGUUGCUGAUCACGCCCGACACACGGUCUUCUUCGUGGCAGGGGUAAACUCAUGGAUACUGCAGUUUACACCCUCGCUAAUUUGAGCUAUGUAUUCAUGGUUCCUAGACCUGCCAUCAAGUUUGGGCAUACACACGAUUUGGAAAGAAAGAACUUAGGAUUCUACUGAGGUUCUGUGCAACACAUUUAGCUUGGCAACAUGUGAGAAAAUUGCACGAUUGAAUUUGAAACAUUUGUCAAAGGCCGAUCAUACAGUGUACCUAUUGCGGCUGAUUAUCCUUCAGCAUAUUUGCGCCGCCCUUCAGUUGCCCAUCAAUUCCAUCCAUACCAUCCGCCAUAGCAAUGGCCCUUCAAGGGGUAUAUCAACAUAGGGAUACUGUCAACUCCUAGACGUCAGCCGUCCCAAGGUUCUUCCAAGGCGACCACAUGCCCACCGAGUUUGCCGCUGUGGAGUGUGCAUGGGAGAGCACACACAAGAUUGUCAAAGUUGAGAAUCAUUCCCCAAACAACAGGCGGAUCAGCUCUAUGCGGCAUCAUUGACUUACCAGCCACCCCAUCAGGGCGUGGCAAGAAAAGGCACAGCAUCAGUCCAACUGCCUACAAAUAUUUAGAGGGAGGCUGCCUAGAAUAACUAAUUAGAAAUAGAAAGAAAAAUAAAAUACUUUCUCUGAUCCAAAUUAACUGGCGCAGCGAUAUACUAUGUAUUAUCAGCUCCCAUUACACAAAUUAAGUAAUACUUUUUUUUUGCCCAAUACAAUUGAGUGGUGAACUAAUAUUUUGUGUUUAUUUGCAUGUGAGUUUCUGAAGUUGUUAGUACGUGCUCUAAAUGAAUUUUAGUCACAACUUUUUUGUGGGAACUGAAAUGUCAGUAAUCUUCUUGAUUAGCAGGUCAUAGAAAUUUCAUAUGCAUGUGUGUUAAUGUAUUCUGAGCUUCUCACUGGUCAGAUCUGAAACAGGUGUAACCCAACCAUUGUACCUGAAGCAGCUGUUAGUCUUGGUUUAUACCUAUGCACGCCC